This 500-nucleotide ribosomal RNA is filed under the name uncultured bacterium. RNAcentral's name for it is "bacterial SSU rRNA". It matches the Rfam family "Bacterial small subunit ribosomal RNA", at positions 355 to 871 of the family's 1533-position model. The record is from RNAcentral.
UGGGGAAUCUUGGACAAUGGGGGCAACCCUGAUCCAGCCAUGCCGCGUGAGUGAUGAAGGCCUUAGGGUCGUAAAGCUCUUUCGCCUGUGAAGAUAAUGACGGUAGCCGGAGAAGAAGCCCCGGCUAACUCCGUGCCAGCAGCCGCGGUAAUACGGAGGGGGCUAGCGUUGUUCGGAAUUACUGGGCGUAAAGCGCACGUAGGCGGACCAGAAAGUUGGGGGUGAAAUCCCGGGGGCUCAACCCCGGAACUGCCUCCAAAACUAUUGGUCUAGAGUUCGAGAGAGGUGAGUGGAAUUCCAAGUGUAGAGGUGAAAUUCGUAGAUAUUUGGAGGAACACCAGUGGCGAAGGCGGCUCACUGGCUCGAUACUGACGCUGAGGUGCGAAAGUGUGGGGAGCAAACAGGAUUAGAUACCCUGGUAGUCCACGCCGUAAAACGAUGAGUGCUAGAUGUUGGGAUUUUCGGAUUUCAGUGUCGCAGCUAACGCAUUAAGCACUCCG